GGCGUUGGUUGUCCAGGUGAAAGGAUGUAGGCAUGUAUCUUAGGCAAAUCCGGGGUACUCUAUGCUGAGAUCUGAUAGCAAGCUGUACUUGUACAGCGAAGUGGUUGAUGCCAUGCUUCCAGGAAAAGUCUCUAAGCUUCAGUUACACAGGAAUCGUACCCGAAACCGACACAGGUGGUCAGGUCGAGUAGACCAAGGCGCUUGAGAGAACUCUGCUGAAGGAACUAGGCAAAAUGGUACCGUAACUUCGGGAGAAGGUACGCUGUUGUUGGUGAUGGAACUCGCUUCCUGAGCUGACGACAGCCGCAGAAACCAGGCCGCUGCAACUGUUUAUUAAAAACAUAGCACUCUGCAAACACGAAAGUGGACGUAUAGGGUGUGAUGCCUGCCCGGUGCUGGAAGGUUAAUUGAUGGGGUUAGCGUAAGCGAAGCUCUUGAUCGAAGCCCCAGUAAACGGCGGCCGUAACUAUAACGGUCCUAAGGUAGCGAAAUUCCUUGUCGGGUAAGUUCCGACCUGCACGAAUGGCAUAAUGAUGGCGGCGCUGUCUCCAGCAGAGGCUCAGUGAAAUCGAAAUCGCUGUGAAGAUGCAGUGUACCCGCGGCUAGACGGAAAGACCCCGUGAACCUUUACUGCAGCUUGACACUGAACUUUGACCUUACUUGUGUAGGAUAGGUGGGAGGCUUUGAAGCUGGAACGCUAGUUCCAGUGGAGCCGUCCUUGAAAUACCACCCUGGUAAUGUUGAGGUUCUAACUCUGUCCCGUGAUCCGGGACGAGGACCGUGUCUGGUGGGUAGUUUGACUGGGGCGGUCUCCUCCUAAAGAGUAACGGAGGAGUACGAAGGUGCGCUCAGCGUGGUCGGAAAUCACGCGUAGAGUAUAAAGGCAAAAGCGCGCUUAACUGCGAGACCCACAAGUCGAGCAGGUACGAAAGUAGGUCUUAGUGAUCCGGUGGUUCUGUAUGGAAGGGCCAUCGCUCAACGGAUAAAAGGUACUCUGGGGAUAACAGGCUGAUACCGCCCAAGAGUUCAUAUCGACGGCGGUGUUUGGCACCUCGAUGUCGGCUCAUCUCAUCCUGGGGCUGAAGCAGGUCCCAAGGGUAUGGCUGUUCGCCAUUUAAAGAGGUACGCGAGCUGGGUUUAGAACGUCGUGAGACAGUUCGGUCCCUAUCUACCGUGGGCGCUGGAAAUUUGAGAGGAUCUGCUCCUAGUACGAGAGGACCAGAGUGGACGAACCUCUGGUGUACCGGUUGUGACGCCAGUC
Molecule: ribosomal RNA, 1261 nt
Filed under: Acinetobacter baumannii
Lineage: Bacteria; Pseudomonadati; Pseudomonadota; Gammaproteobacteria; Moraxellales; Moraxellaceae
Description: partial 23S ribosomal RNA
Rfam family: Bacterial large subunit ribosomal RNA
Source: RNAcentral